CCAAGUCUUUUAAACCUUUCUUAUUUAACUAUACAUAUAUAGGCAAGCAUUUAACAAUAUAAAAGUAUAAAAGAGGUUUUGUAAAACCUUUGAAAAGUUUAAUAAAUAAGAAUUUAUGACUUGAUGUCAGUUUAUAAAACAAUUCGAAAACAGUUGACAAGACAGUUUAAGUGUAAGAAAACCUUUGUUUGAAGCACAACUAUAACAGAUUCAAAAAGGAAACAUACAUUUUGUAAGACAGUUUCUAAAAGUGUUUUAACAUGUAAAAACGUUUGAGAAAGCUAUUUGAAGUACUCUAUUUGGUGAAACGGCUAAAAGUGUAGUAAGUCCAAUUGUAUGUUAGUUAUAAAUCACAUGUGAUUGAUUACAUAACCAAAAAGUAUAACAAAGAUUUAUGUCUUUCACACGGGGAUAACCAUGUGUUUACUUGUAUCCCCCCCCCCUUAAAAGUGUAUAAAAAGUGAACUCACUUGAUUGAAGUGGUUGAUUUGAAGUAGUCGAGAGAAGAAUCGAGUAGAACUUUGACAGGAAAGUCGAAAACGCGUGAAAAUCUCGGGAUUAUUGGGAAUAUCGAGAACACAAAACAUUACUUCGGGACAUGAAGGUGAAAACCGGGGCUUUGGGAGGGUCUCGGGGGCUUAAGCGCAGAGUUUCGGCGCAAGAGAUGGAAGAAUGGAGCACCUAAACCCGACACCCGAAGAGUUCUAUUUAUAGGGUGGAUUUUUGGGUGCCACGUCGUGGCUAAGGCUGGCCACGUUGUGGGGAGAAAGUAUUAUCCUCUUCUAUUUAUUGGAUGCCCUCAGUCACAUGCCGGGUCGCGGCAAACUAUGCCACGUCGUGGCAGGCCUGAAAGCCUCAGAUUUUGGACCCCGAACUUGUAAAAUCCAUAACUUUCGCGUACGAGCUCCGUUUUCGACGUUCUUUAUAUGCACGCAUAGCUAAAAAUAUUAUCUACAACUCUAGUUUAUACUUCAUUGGCAAAUUUUGACUUUAUUUUUAAUUAUUUAUUUUUAACGGGCCGGGACACGAAAAGUCCGUUAAAAUUCCAUAACUUCUUCAUCCGAUGUCCGUUUUCGUCAGGAUUUUCGUCGUUGCGCUACUAUUGUUGAGACCUUUGAUUCUCAUUUAGGUUGUUUUGGUAAAAAGUCUCUUGAGCUCUAUUUCGAGUUUUAAGCUGUCUACUGCUAUAUCCGAAUCUUGGAAAAAUCAUAACUUCCUCAUACAAAGUCAGAUUUGGACGUUCUUUUUAUGUACGCUCAUGGUUUAAUGUUAUCUACAACUUUCAUUUAGAUACUUAAGGCUAAAAACUAUUGUAUUGAAACUUCACGUUUUUCGUUUAAUCGGUGUUGCCGGUUUUGUCGGAAAUCUUAGAAUAGUCGUAAGUUCUUCGUUAUAACUCGGAUUUUUGUGUUCUUUAUAUGUAUGAAAACCUUGUUAUGAUUCCUACGACUUGAUUUAACCCAAAUAAGAUUUUAGGAAAUUUAUAUUUUGACCUAAAUUUGACUGGUGUUACAUUACAUUGUCUCUAAAUAUCGGGUUGUCGCAUCAUCCCCCCGUUAGAGAAUUUUGUCCCGAAAUUAGAGUUUAAGUAGAAUUGAUAAACAUGCUACGUAUAGAAGUUUUAUUUGCUUCUCGUGUUCUUGAGUGAACUCAGGUCCUCACUUGGCAUUCCAACGAAUCUUUCACUAUCGGGAUACGACUUUGCUUAUUUCGUUUGACUUCACUGGUAUGAUAAAUCUUCUUUGUCGAAUGUGUGUCGAGUGUUUUUGUGAUCUGUGAGAGUAUUACACAUUGUACCCUACAAGUAGUGUCUCCAGAUCUUCAGAGCAAUUACCAUUGCUCCUGACUCAAGAUCAUGUGUUGUAUAGUUAACUUAUUGCGUCUUAAGUUGUCUUGAGGUAUAGGCAGUGACCUUUCCUCUUGUAUAAGAACACAACCAAGCCCUUGGUUGGAUUCAUCGCCUUUCACCACGAAAUCUACUAUCCCCUUUGAGAGGGAUAAUAUCGGUGCGGUGCACCAGGCUUACUUUAGCAUUUGGAACGCUCUUUCUUGUUUACAGACAAGUCCGGUGCUCCUCCAAGUGAGAAACUUGGCCUAAAGAAUCCUCUUCUGAGGAGUUCGUUAAGCUUUCUGGGAAGUUCCAAUAUCUUAGUUGGAGUUAGACAAUAAGGUGAUUUGGCUACUAGGGUAGCCCUUGUAACUAAGUCGAUUCUGAACUCGAAUUGACGUUGUGGUGGUAAUCCCGGUAGUUCUUCUGGAAAGGUGUUGGGAAAUUCGCGUACUUUUGGAUGUUCUGAAUGUCCUUCACUUCUUGGCUCGUAUUGACGAUGUGUGCAAGGAAUGUGUGAUAUUCCCUUCGUAAGCGCUUUUGAGCUUAAAUACACGAAAUGAUACGAAGGUUCGUACUUGAUUUGUCUCCGUAAGUAACAAGAGGUUCUUUGAUAUGGAGGUUAAGAUGAAUUGCUUUAUCAAAGCACCUGAUGUCGGCUCGAUGUAGACUUAACCAACUCCUACUGAUUAUGAUGUUAAAACCUUGGGGGUGGAUUAGAUGGCAUGAAGAUCUAAAAGAAAGUAUGACUACUCAUGAAUUAGGGAAAAGGAUAGGUAUUUCUAAGCUUAUUCUCACGGAAGCAUGAUCACUCUCAGUCUUGGGCAGUCUCCGUCCUGAAGUUCAUAGUAGAACCCAUACCAGGUUCAUCAUUCACAGUCUCGGGUAUACGAGUCGUAUAUAAUUAAGAUUGAAACUGUGGGUCUUUGGAUUGAACUUGACGUACUGCACAAGUGGUACUUCGGGGAGGUUUGCUGAGGUUUCUUUGGAAAGGGUAAGAAACAUGAGGUACUCUACGCAUGAGUAAUUUGGAGUUCUGAAGUGAUAGUUUCGUUAGAAAGAUGAUUUCAGAGAAAAAGAUUUACGCACGAAACUGGUAUUGUGAGGGUCAAAUAGACUCUGAUCGUAUGAUGAAAUCAGAAUCACUUGGAAAUAAAGGCACUAGAUUUGAUCAUAAAGGCGUUACAGAAAAAACACAAUAGCAAAAAUUUUUAACAGAGUUACAGUACUUUAGAAUAACUACAGGAAUACUACUGCGAACAAAGUAUACUACAAAAGGCAAGUAUACGCAGCACGAGGGUCCCUUAACUGACAGGAUCUCGCAAAAGAUAAAACUCGAGUUGCACUAGUUUUAAACAUGUUUUAAAAACAUACAUAAUACUGAUGAUUGGAAGUGAACCUAUACUAUAGUAGGGUCCUUCGUUGCCUCUUUCCAUUAUGAGGUCAAACUCCUCUGGAUUCACUGUCGUUCUCCUCUGUUGGACAAUCCCUCUUGAAGUGUCCCAUUACGCCACAUAGAUGGCAUAUUCGAGAGAUUUCGACAUUUGUGGUUGAGGUAAUGUGUUGGAUCCAAGUCUUGUAGUAAUGGACGGUGUGUCCCUUUUUAUUGCAGUUUAAGCACUGCAUUUUCUGACAAGGUCCACGAUGGUGAUAGUUGCAUUUGUUGCACUUCGGAGGGUUGCCAGCAUACCGUCUGGCCGGGUUAGGGAUAACUGGGAUACUAGAAGAGAUGGUAGUAGGAGGUACAGAAGUCGUGACUGUGAAGGUUGCCAUAGGUUGUUGUCUUUUGCUUGCCCCUUGGGGUGAUUUGCCUUUAGCCUUAGCCCAGAACUUUCGUUUGUUAUUCUUGGGCUUGGGAUUCGGGGUGUCGUGAUAGUUUGUUGCUAGAUGAGGUAGUUGAUUGUUACUUGGAGUGAAAUUAUUGUUAAUAAUCCUGCUAACAUUCGCGUUGUUAACGUUAAGGUGGGUUAGAACAGCUGAUACGACAACCGAGACUGCAGCUUGAAAGGUAGUUGCAUCAAUCUGAAGAGUUGGUGUUUGGUUGAUGGGUUGAUCGUUUUUCUUCGGCGACAUGAUUCUGUUACACGGAAAGAAAAAUGAAUUUGUGAGCGAGUAUGGUUGAACCUAGACGUAGUCCGAUCAUUCAUAUAAAGAAUAGAAGUAUGUUCUCGAAGGUUUGACCUACAUCCCUAUGAUGCAGUCCUAGUACGGAAUAGGAGUAUGUUCACGAAGGUGUGACCUACAUCCCUAUGAUGCAGUCCUAGUAUGGAGUAGAAGUAAAUUAAUAGAAUGGUCUCAAAAUGCUUAUCAUCCAAACCAGGGUAUUAUCGGUUGGUAAAUAACAUGAUCCAACCUUUGAAAGAGAAUUGGGAACGAUCCCUGAGCUAAAUUACCCUAGUCCAAUAACUUGACUAGAGUGGGUUUCAGAUAGACUCCAAUGAAAGCAUGAUGAAAAGCAUUUGAACAAGGAUUGAUACGGAAGUUAGCCGACUGUCGAUAUCAUUGAUGUUGAAGAUGUAAUAGGUUUGGGGAAAUUGACGUUGUUGUAGGUCUUACAUCAUAUUCGGAGUAGAAAACUCUUUGACAGCAUAAAGACUUAACUAAAAGUACUACACAGAACAUAGACAGGAACAUGGUUCUUUAAAACAAGGAAGGAAGUAAGGUAUCUCUUACUGGCGACGGUCACCCCUAUGGUGAACCCUUAGUUUUGCUAGUUGACGUUCCAUAUCUUGCAGGUAGCUGUCGUACACCCUCUGGCGUACUUGGAGCUCUAUGACUUCGGCUCGGGUUUCAGCUAGUGCUUGCAGCAGGGUCUCAUGGUUUCUCUUAGAUCUCUCACUUGUGAUCAAGGCGAUUGGUGCGAAUGGUAUGCAUUCUUGCAUUGGUAUUAACCUCUUCGAUACGUUGGAGAACCGUCCUGCCCUGAAUUUCGUUUCGGGCAACUCUAUGGAUUAGGAUUGGUAGAACUCUGUCUGCUGAGCUCCCUUCGUUUACAUUUUAGAAGUUUCGGUCUCCAUUAAACGACAUAGGUUGAUCUUGCUCUUCCCUCCAUGUUUCCAAUCAUUCUACCCAAGGAGGCGUCGGGCCAUGAAAAGCGGGACGUGGGUUAAGAUUUAGAAAUGGAGCUACCAGGGGUAGGUUCUCAACCUCGGGUUCGGAGUUAUCAACAUCCAAAAGGUUUUCAGCAUGGUGAUCAUUCAAAGGGAUUGGAUGAUCAUUCUCUGGUCCUUCUCCAAACCAUCCCGCAAUGACUUCGUUCGAAAGGUACGGGUUGCCGUGGGGAUGGAGUCCAGCCAUGUUAUCUAUGCGAGAAUUAGGGUAAGGAAAUAAUUAUUAGACAAACUAUCUAGAUAAUUAUUAUUAUAAAAUCUUCAUUAGUUACAUCGCUAUUUGUAAAGUGCAUACCAGUCAUACGUAUUCAACACAGGAUAGGCUUUCGAAUAAGUGACCUUAACUCCAAAUUCACAAGGAAUAGGGGUAAAGCAAAGAUUUCACCGAUUCUAAGUCUAUAAUAUCCUAGUUACAUAUAUCCUUAGUGUAUCCACUUAACAACUAUCAACUUAGUAAUGAAGAUCCUUUUUAGUUCUCAAGUAAGUAAUUAUGGUAACACAAAACACCCCUAUGGUAUUUUAGACUUAGGUUCUGUUAUAAUGUUCUCAUUGUGGUAAUGUUGGUAAGUUUUUAGAAUUGUUGCCAUAUCACAACCAUUCUUGGGCAUAUGCUAAUCACUCCUCGGACCAGCAUAGUUGAUCAGGCUAUGCCACUCCCAAGACUGACUAUACAUCCCCAAGCUUACUUGUGAUAUUCAACAAUCGUAAUACUUUUGUUCUUGUCGUUGUAACACCGAUUUUAGUAUGCAUGCAGACACAUAUACUUACUUAAAUAUUUUAUUAUUUAGAAGUAUAAGCUCUAUUUUAGAGUAUUUUUAAUCCCAUUGUAUUUACAGUUAGUAUAUCUUUUAUUGGUUGAUAUACUUAAUUCACUAUAAACAAUGUUCUGAUACCAAUCUGUCACACCCCAAAACCGAGAAUGGCGGAAACGUUCUCGGGUGGAGGACAUCAUGUAUGUAUCACAACAAUGUAAAGUAGUAAACAAGCAAUAACAUCAUCCAUUUCAUUAAUAGAAUAAUUCUGUUUACAAGUGUGUUCUUUCAUAGUAUAAAACAACAUAAUGAAUACUCAAAAUAAAAGACGAGUCUAGACUGCUCCGUCUUCUCUAAACCUGGCAUCGGUACCUGCCUAUUUGUGACCUAAGAAUACAAGUUAUUUUGAAAGCGAGUAUCAGCAAUAAAGAUGGUGAAUUCAUAAGUACUUUAAUGUUAUUGCUUUGAAAAGUUGUUAUGAAAGACUAGUGAAUGUUUGAUGAAACAUUUAGUAUAAUUAUGAAAACCCUAGAAAAUCUCAUAUUUCCUAGUAGUAUAAAAAGUAGUCUUCUACCAAGACCCGAAUGUUUUGAAAGUAGUCUUCUACCAAGACCUGACCGUUUUGAAAGUAAGCGGCACUGUAGAUGUGACGGUUUUUCCCUUGUUUAACUAUUAUUAUAAAAGUUAUAGUCUACGUCGUCGUUUAUGUGUAUGAGUCACAAUAUAAAGGUAAUAAGGAAAAUAGUUUAUCUAUAUCGAAUAUGUUUUUUAAUACUCCCAGUGAGUCUUUUGUUUAAGUAAGACUGGUUAAAAGGGUGUGUAUCCCGAAUUGUGAACAUGUUAAUAAUAUCCCAUGGUAUAGUUAUUACCCCCUGAUUAUGAUUGAGUUAAAUGUAUAUUACUACGUAUAAGGGUUGUUGUUUCCGCUGUUUGUAAGAUUCUCAUAACCAUACUAGACGUGGUACUAAUGUCGACAUUUGUCACCGCAGACCUGCCGAUCUAACUGGAGCUUACAAUUUAGGUGUGGGUUCGUCAAACCCGUAUAGAUCUAUACAAAAAUUUGCGCUCUCCCUCUAGGAGACUCUGGUUAAAGAUGGGGACUUUCGUUUUGGUACUAACAAAGCCAUAUGUCUCACAUGAUUGCUAACAACAAGUUCACGAGUAAUAUAAUGAAAUACCUUUCGUAUGAAAAGAUUAUGCUUGUUAUGAAGAAUGCAUACUUGUAAAUAAAAUGCUGGUAUAGACUCAUGAAUGAACUGACUCUUGCAUGAUUCCUUGUACUUGGAAUUGUAAGUAGUAUAUCCUAAUUAUACAUAUUAUAGUUACUAGAAAUGUAAUUGAUGAGUGUCCAAAUAUGUUUAUACACCCUUGCUACCUAAGAGUGUCGGAACUGAACUAAUUGAUGGAUCUUUUAUGUCUAUAUCGGUAUACAUGAUAUAUAUAACUAAUAUUUAGACGACAUUCGGACGAAUAACUGAUACCCUAAGGCCACAUCCCAACAAGAACAAAAAAAGAAAUAAGGCGUGCUAGUCGUUCCAAGUCUUUUAAACCUUUCUUAUUUAACUAUACAUAUAUAGGCAAGAAUUUAACAAUAUAAAAGUAUAAAAGAGGUUUUGUAAAACCUUUGAAAAGUUUAAUAAAUAAGAAUUUAUGACUUGAUGUCAGUUUAUAAAACAAUUCGAAAACAGUUGACAAGACAGUUUAAGUGUAAGAANUAAAAAAAACAAAGAAAAAACAAUAAAAAAGCCACUUUAAGUGUAAGAAAACCUUUGUUUGAAGCACAACUAUAACAGAUCCAAAAAGGAAACAUACAUUUUGU
RNAcentral lists this long non-coding RNA (7509 nucleotides) under Lactuca sativa (garden lettuce). RNAcentral's name for it is "long non-coding RNA (LSAT_LNC004312)". The record is from RNAcentral. Lineage: Eukaryota; Viridiplantae; Streptophyta; Magnoliopsida; Asterales; Asteraceae.